This is a long non-coding RNA of Tyto alba (common barn owl), 4254 nucleotides long. RefSeq lists it as uncharacterized. Lineage: Eukaryota; Metazoa; Chordata; Aves; Strigiformes; Tytonidae. The transcript is spliced from 7 exons. The record is from RefSeq and is a predicted model, not a curated record.
CAAUUUAAAAGAGUUUGAAGGAGCAAGAGAGAUCUCAGUUCCUGCAUGUUCAUGAAAAAACUUCAGCUUGGCAAUGGAAUGAGACCUAGAUUAAUGAUCCCAUGAAAGACAGUGGAGGAUUGAGGCACAGAGAGGUGAAAAGAUCUCCCCAAGGUCACACGGGAAGUCACCUGAUAACAGGAAAAUGUUGAUGGUCUGAUGUCCAUGGUCUGAUGAUGGCUGUACUCCUAAGGUAGUAAACAUCAUGAAGAAUAUAACCUAGGAAGGGAGGGAACCCCUUACACUGCAAGAACAUGGGAUGUAGGACUCGUGACAGGACAACAUCAGAGGGACACUCAUCCAUGGCUCUAUCAGUCUCUGAUAUGACACAGUGAAACAGCAAGUGAAUGAACCAGGUUUCAAGGAAGCAAGAGUCUGUGCCCUGUCAACACGUUCAUCUUGUGCUCUGCGCCAGCGGUCAUCCCCUGGCACACAUCCCCUGUCCUGCUGGCUGAAGGGUCCUGGUCCUGGUCCUGGUCAGUGUGAACUUGACUUCAGCUCUCCAUGUCUGAGUGUUUUUUUACUUGUGUCUGUGGUACUCGCGCCUGUAGACUGGAUGUCCCAGCACGGAGAUUUGGCGAAGCAUUCCUUCACUUUGUCAUGGCAAGGGACCCUGUACUCCUUCCUCAUAGGCUUGGGAAAGCAGGCUGGAGAUAUCUUCUACCUUACCAUGGUCUGACACAUUCGCUUCUUCCCAGAAACCAGAAUACCUUGAGGGAUGAAGGUGAAGAAUGCAGCAUGGAAGAAGUGAAGUCUCUUAACUUCUGACUCCAUUAAUGAGGCUGAUCACCAGAGAAGACUGCCAGUGCUGGGUUACUGUGUGGCACCAUGGUCACGUUGCUUCCCGAAGAAGGGUGAACUCCAGACCAGGAGCUCCAUGCUGACACUGAGUUGCUCAUGUGGGGACAAGAAGCGGGAGAGGACAGGGCUGAUGAUAGUCAGAGGAAAGAGGGGGGGUGUGCAUGUGUAUGUGGGGGGUCACCAAAACUUAGGACUAGACUGAGGAAAGAAAAGUAAUUUUCCAGGGCUUCGUUGUCUUAUACAGAGAAAACAAAGAAUGGUCUUUCUCCUUAGCAUGUUGGGGUUUAGCACUCAGUAAAGAAAUGUUAUAUCAAAAUAGAGCAUCUAUUUUGGGUGUCUAGGUGUUUCUCCAUUUUUGUGACAAAUCCAAUUUUGGCUGAUGCAUGAAGGACUAGACAGAGCCUCCCUUUCCUGUACUCUGGGACAUGUUCUAGGGGACAAUUCAACAGUAAACCAACUCUUGUGAAUUAAGUUAUUACAACUUUAUCAUGUUUCCCAAUUCCUUUCAUAUAAUAUAAUAAUGUAUGUUAAAGGAGAUGUCUGCACUGCAGUCUUGUUUUGAUAUUGAUGAGAUCUUGCAUUGCAAUCCUGGCUCUUCUUUUUUAAAUGGCAAAGAAAAAGCCAUAUCACCGGGAAAAUAAUAUAAAAUACUGUUUGUAGAUAUUUAAUUUCAGGUUUAUGAACUAGAUAAAAACCAAACCAAAACAAUCACCCCCCCAAAAAAAGCUCAACUGAUCUAUUACUACUGGGAUCUGUUCAAUGUUUUGCUAUGUAAACUGCAUGCUGCAUGAUGGCCUUGCUUUCUGCCGGUGGGAAAAUCUCCUGAGAAGAAAUGUGUCUCUCGCUUCCUCUGGGAAUGCUCAGUACCCUGGAGAUGCUUCUUGCUUGACAUUUUGUUUCUCAAGUGAUUACUUGGGCCUUUGCUCAGAUGAGAGAAGUAAUUUUUCUUUCCCUGACUUCAAGUAGUACAUGUAAUUAUGUAAUUGUAAAGCUCUUUCCUUUAUGCUUAAGGCUAAACUGUCUUGUGACAGUGGAUAUACAGGGGUUUGUCCUCUCAGUGCUUUGCUGAGCAAGACUGAGCUGGGCUGGGCUACUUUGACUAUAUUUUGGUGGCAGGCAGCAUGGCGAGCUCAGGAAAUCCCAAUUCAGUACUGGGCCACUGUCCAACCCUGCUUUCAUGUUUUCGCACAGGAAAUUUGGGGUCCAGAGCCAACAGAUUUGAUUGCAAACCAGGGCAGCACCCAUGGCAUAAGGGGUCAGUGAUGAGUUGUGGCUGCUGUAACUGUGGUGUAUUUAUUAUGUCGUUGAAUCAGAAGCAAACUCAGUUUUGUUUAUAAAAUGAAAACACGUAUUUGUUCUAUCUUCUGGAAGUACAGCAUCGUUAGUGUGAAUAAUGCUUAUGAAAUACAUUGGAAUUGCAUCUGGUAAACCUGAAGUCCUCCACAGAAGAUCACAUUCUGCUAGUUAGGAGUUAGGAUUUGAAAGAUUCAGAUUAUGUUCAGAUUAUGUCAGAACUAACUACAAAUUUUAGCUAACCUGAACCUUAACUUUCUACCUGAUACGAGCUGCUUGCAGUCGCAGCAUUUGGAAGGCACUUUGCAGACACACAGGAAGGACAGAUCUAAUAAAUGCACAUAGGUGAUGCAAACAGUGUACCUAAAUUCAUUUUCAUUGUACAAUUUUUAUAUCUGUUAUUUCAAAUAGCACCGAUCUGCCCUGCAGUGUCUGGAGUUCUGUCUCUAUCAAAAAGGAGACAAUUCUUUCAAAAACAGUACUAAACCAUGAGGUAUAAACUAGGGGAAAACAAGUCUUUUUCACUUACUUAUUUACUGAUGUAAUUUUUUUCAUUAUUAAUUGAAGUCCUGUUGCUACAUAAUCUUCCUUUUUUUACCAGAAACCUAUGAAACAAAAGUACACUGCUGCCAUACGGAAAGGGCAACUAGAACCUUACAGCUGUUUUCUUUUCCAGGAUAGGUUGCAUUGAAAUGUCUAAACAAAGAUGCUUGUGUUUGUAUGUAACUUUAGGGUUAAGUAACUCUCUGGGGCUGGAAGACACACACCCACGCUGCCUGGGAAGGGCUGCUUCAGGAUUAGGAAAACUCCCCUGCUAGGCAGAUUUAUGCUCUGAAGAUCCUGCCACUUUUCACUUUGAAUGCUCUUCCUGCCUGGACUCUGGACUCUUAAGCAUGUAUUUAACUUCAGAGAAGGGACUUAAGGCAAGUGUACAGAGAUUCCUGAACUGUUUAGGAUUUCAGAGGUGCUCAAGUGUUUCCUUCUAUCUCAGUGGGUACAGCAUUCUCAGUGUUUUAAUGAUGUUCACAUUUAUUCUUAAUAGCAGCUGAUACUCUACAGUUCACAUUUUAAUAGGUAUCGAUGCCUUAUCAUGUCCUACCCAGUACAGCAACUGGAAUCUAAUACUUGCAGAUCUCCCUUUCAGAAGUCUUUGCUCUGAAAUAAACCAAACUCACAUUUACUUUACCAAUAAAGAAUAGUACAUUUGGUAAGAAAUUAUUUUAAAACUGUGAACAGCUGGCAUUUACUUCUGCUUUCCUUAGAAACCAGCCAUCACUCAACUUCUUCACUGCAUUCCCACAUUAGCCUGGUUCCCUGGAGGAGCCGUCUUCUCCCUUGGAUGAUGUGUUCCUUCAAGUCUACUGCAGUAGUUUGGUCCCCGCUACCCCGGACUCCUUCGUGCCCUGUCAUUGUCUCUUUACAAUACCUCAUGUGGGCUGAGGAUGGCUUGUCCUGCCAUUAUUGGUUUUCCUCUUUCUUUCGCCCAGCAGCCCUUUUGUUGAGCUGACUCACCACAGUGGCACAGCUGACACCAUAGGAACUGUUUCAGUGUUCGUUAUCCACUGUUUAUUACAGAGAAUCCAGGUUGUUAAUAGUCAGUCAGGGGGCACAAGGAACUAUUCUGGUUCAAGACCCUUACGUGCAAUGAUCAAUUGUUUAGCAAGAGGAAAAGCAAAAGCCGUGGAAGGGAAUCAGAAAUCUGGUUUGUCUUUCACAGUCCUCUGAACUGUGCUCUGGCAGCUCCCAGCGAGCCUUCCCUGGGGGGACAUUAGGCACAUGUGCUUUUGAGAGCAAGAAGAUCCGGGGCUGAUCCUUGCUGUUGCUGUGAAGUUCGCAUGGCCGCGGCAUGCGACCCAGCUGGAAGUGAGUCCCUGCCUGAUGCGAACGGGGAGGCACGUAGCUGUGUGGUCGCUACCGCUUUUCAUGACUGAAAGCGCGUGUCCUGCGUGGUGUGUGCAGCUCUCUGUACGGCAUGAUCCGCGCUGGGAGCGCUCGUGGAGCUCCCAGAGGCCAUGAGUGGGUACCAAGGGGAAGUGUUAGCCUUUAAAAACUCAGAUCGCUGAAUGAAAACAUUUGGUAAGCCUGCCGUGUCUUUGCUAAUAAAUAUUUCACCCCUUGGAA